This 438-nucleotide ribosomal RNA is filed under the name uncultured bacterium. RNAcentral's name for it is "bacterial SSU rRNA". It matches the Rfam family "Bacterial small subunit ribosomal RNA", at positions 29 to 514 of the family's 1533-position model. The record is from RNAcentral.
AACGAACGCUGGCGGCAGGCCUAACACAUGCAAGUCGAGCGGGGGAGCAAUCCCUAGCGGCGGACGGGUGAGUAACGCGUGGGAACGUACCCUUUGCUUCGGAAUAGCCCCGGGAAACUGGGAGUAAUACCGGAUGUGCCCUACGGGGGAAGAAUUUCGGCAAAGGAUCGGCCCGCGUUGGAUUAGGUAGUUGGUGGGGUAAUGGCCUACCAAGCCGACGAUCCACAGCUGGUUUGAGAGGAUGAUCAGCCACACUGGGACUGAGACACGGCCCAGACUCCUACGGGAGGCAGCAGUGGGGAAUCUUAGACAAUGGGCGCAAGCCUGAUCUAGCCAUGCCGCGUGAGCGAUGAAGGCCUUAGGGUUGUAAAGCUCUUUCGUGGGGGAAGAUAAUGACGGUACCCCAAGAAGAAGCCCCGGCUAACUCCGUGCCAGCAG